AUACGUAGGUGACAAGCGUUAUCCGGAUUUACUGGGCGUAAAGGGCGUGUGGGCGGUCUUGCAAGUCAGAAGUGAAAUUCCUGAGCUCAACUCGGGCGCUGCUUCUGAAACUGCAGGACUUGAGUGCUGGAGGGGAUAGCGGAAUUCCUAGUGGAGCGGUAAAAUGCGCAGAUAUUAGGAAGAACACCGGUGGCGAAGGCGGGUAUCUGGACAGUAACUGACGCUGAGGCGCGAAAGCGUGGGGAGCAAACAGGAUUAGAUACCCUGGUAGUCCACGCCGUAAACGAUGAGCACUAGCUGUUGGGGCCGAAUGGUCUCAGUGGCGCAGUUAACGCAAUAAGUGCUCCGCCUGGGGAGUACGCGCGCAAGCGUAAAACUCAAAGGAAUUGACGGGG
This 395-nucleotide ribosomal RNA is filed under the name uncultured bacterium. RNAcentral's name for it is "partial 16S ribosomal RNA". It matches the Rfam family "Bacterial small subunit ribosomal RNA", at positions 523 to 918 of the family's 1533-position model. The record is from RNAcentral.